Molecule: long non-coding RNA, 216 nt
Organism: Acomys russatus (golden spiny mouse)
Lineage: Eukaryota; Metazoa; Chordata; Mammalia; Rodentia; Muridae
Exons: 6
Source: RefSeq, a predicted model, not a curated record
AAGGGCCUGUGAUGCUGGUGUUGUUGCUGAGGUAAAGGGCCUGUGAUGCUGGCGUUGUUGCUGAGGUAAAGGGCCUGUGAUGCUGGCGUUGUUGCUGAGGUAAAGGGCCUGUGAUGCUGGCGUUGUUGCUGAGGUAAAGGGCCUGUGAUGCUGGCGUUGUUGCUGAGGUAAAGGGCCUGUGAUGCUGGCGUUGUUGCUGAGGUAAAGGGCCUGUGA